ACCAUUUUCCAUAUAUAUUUCAACAUUGAAAAUUAUUAAUCCAAAGAUUUUGAUUCAUUUAUCAAAAUUCACCCAAUCUCUUCACAGAUUUUUGCUUGGUUUUGAUAUGUGAUUCAAGCCCAGCACAACAACUUGACCUAACUUGUAGAUAUAAAUCUGAAAAUAAGGAAAAUAUAAAAUCUGUAAAAUUUAAUCUAAAAAUCAGAAGUAAACUAAUAAUCAGAUUUAAUCAACAUAUUCAACAAAAUAAUCUAAAUUACAAUUUAAAAUUUUAGAAAAUACAAUCUGAACAUUACAGCUCUCUAUCUUUUCUUUAUCUUGUGAUUUUAUCUUUCAUAGUGGGGAAAUUUUAAUCGACGGUAUACAACAUCACAUCCCUCAAAAAUAUAAUUCUAACCUAGAAAUAAAUGGCAAUAGAGAAUUGUAAAUCAUUAGAUUGAACUCAAGCAAUAAAAUUAAUCCAUUCCUUUGUGUUUGGUAAAUCUAUCUCCUCCACAAAAUACCAUCUUCAAUAUUCUCAAUACAAUUAAAUGAAUGUGAGAACAUAUAUAAUAUCAUCUUCAUUUCAAUUCCUGUUAAAAGUUAAACAAAAUCAGACAAGAUCAUCACCAUGUCAGAAAAGGUAACAAUAUUUUUCUGUAAGGCUUGUUUUCAGAUUCUAACAUGUUGUUGGUGUGAGGGUUUGCCGGAGCUAGCUCACCGUCCAACCUAGUACAAGUCUCUCUCUAAGAAUUAUCAACCCCCUCCUCAGUUGGACCAGGGGAGGUAUUUAUAGCCUUCACUUGUUGUCAUUGGGCCUCGUGGGCUCGCGCUGUCGGGCCCGUCCGCCCGUCCGUCCGUCUGGGCCGGCCGGUCCGGUUCGGUCCGUGGGCCGCGGUCCAUGGUACCAACAGUACUCCCCCCCUUCCUUGGCAGGCCUGGGGGCCUGGGGCCGUCCACCCCUCUUUCGCCCCCCACCUACUUUCAUUAAAGUUCCUCGGUUCCCGGGCCCAUCCUUCUUUACUUCUCUAUAAAUAAGCUGCCUGAGUCCCCCAUUUUUUGCAUCCCCUCUCCUGUCUGCUAUGAGUGCUCGAGACAUCCUUGAGGAGUAUGGUCGCGAAGUGCAGCUUCAGCAUGCCACCUGGGCCCUGUGUCUGCUGUCGCCUACUGGUGUUCCCAAUAGUGUUGCCGUGGCCGAGACUCAGCGCCUUAAUGCCGUGUUGAUCGACGUCCACCGCGCCUCUCCCAAAUUCGCCGCUCCGAUAUUAUCGCGGAACUUCCUCCCGUCACCUACCCUGAUACCUCGGGCUCUGCCAAGGAAGGGGGGGAGUACUGUUGGUGUGAGGGUUUGCCGGAGCUAGCUCACCGUCCAACCUAGUACAAGUCUCUCUCUAAGAAUUAUCAACCCCCUCCCCAGUUGGACCAGGGGAGGUAUUUAUAGCCUUCACUUGUUGUCAUUGGGCCUCGUGGGCUCGCGCUGUCGGGCCCGUCCGCCCGUCCGUCCGUCUGGGCCGGUCCGGUUCGGUCCGUGGGCCGCGGUCCGCGGUCCAUGGUACCAACACAUGUAUUAUUGUUUGUGUUUUAAACAAUCUGUAGUUCUAUAGCAUGGUAUGAGGAUGAGCAUAGAUUGUGAUUGCUGCAACAGAAAAAUAAGAAGAACCCUUCUGAAGAUGUAAUGUAAAAAAAAUGAUUCUUAAUUACAGAUAUUUAUAAUUAAUGGACACUGUUUUGUUUUAACACAAAAAGGGGAAAAUAACUUUAUUUUUUUAACAAGUGGGUUAACACAUCUAAACUCUAGCUAUAUAUAUCAUAUGUUUUCUACCAAAAAUAAUUGCUGAUAUGCAUAUUACAAAAUAAAUCUCACAAAAAUCACUUACAAGGUUAGGCUUUCCGGAUUUUCAAUGAUCUUUGGAAAUGUCUGAGGAAAGGUUGCUAACUCAGCACCAUAAAUAAUAAUCUUAAUAAACUAAAUGGAUGAUUGGUUUUUUAUUAACCAAUCAUCCAACUUAAUAAACUAAAAACAAGAACAGACCGAUGGGGAUGGAAUCAGAAUAUGAAUAUGGAUGAAGAUCGAAUCAAGAUGAGAUCGGUAACAAAGGAAUCAGAUUUUCGUUACUUUAGGUAGGUUUUGAUGUAGCUCCCGACAUCGUUUAAGUUCCCAGUUGGUCUUUGAAGUUUCUGUAUACAUUAAGGAUACCCAUGGGGAUGGAAUCGGAAUAUGAAACUCUAAAUGUUAAAUCUAUCUCCAGAAUUGGGAUUGGGGGAUUUCGGAAGAAAAGAAAACAUGAUUUGGAAUUUGGGGAAAGUUGGACAGGAAGAAAACAAAAGUUUGAAAACAAAAGUUGGAGAGGAAGAAAUAGCGAUUCUCAAACGAUUCUCACAUCUAGAAAUAGUGCCCAGAGAAGAUUGAGAACUUGGACAGAAGAUUGAAAUAACCGGCUGGACAGGAGAUUGAGAUAUUUUCUUGAGAAGAUUGAGAAAGUACG
Molecule: long non-coding RNA, 2465 nt
Filed under: Zostera marina
Lineage: Eukaryota; Viridiplantae; Streptophyta; Magnoliopsida; Alismatales; Zosteraceae
Description: long non-coding RNA (ZMAR_LNC001479)
Source: RNAcentral